CAAGAGACCCAGAAAAUGGAGGGAACAAAUUAAUGAAGUGGACCAUCUGCUAACUAUGAAGUGGAGAGAACAGAAAGAUAUUCAGAAGGAUAUUCAAGCAAACAAGACAGCUCUGGAGGUAACAAUGAAAUUAUUAUUAUUAGGCAACUAAGUGGAGCAGUGGAUAGAAGGCUGGUUUUGAAGUCAGGAAGACCUGAAUUGCCUCAGACACUCAACAUUUGUGUGACACUGGGCAAGUCAUUUAACCUCUCUAAGCCUCAGUUUCUUCAUCUAUAAAAUGGAGUUGAUAAUAACAUCUACCUUACAAGACUGUUGUAAAGGUCAAAGGG
RNAcentral lists this long non-coding RNA (329 nucleotides) under Monodelphis domestica (gray short-tailed opossum). Its description in RNAcentral is "lncRNA (ENSMODG00000035007.2)". The record is from RNAcentral. Lineage: Eukaryota; Metazoa; Chordata; Mammalia; Didelphimorphia; Didelphidae.